GGGGCUGUGGGGUAGCUACAGACCCGAGGACCCGCCCUCGGUCUGCUCUAUUGGUCCAUCCUUCGGGCUUUGGGAGCCCGGGACCCCGAUUCAAAUUCGGGCAGCCCCA
Molecule: transfer RNA, 109 nt
Filed under: Thermoplasmata archaeon
Lineage: Archaea; Methanobacteriati; Thermoplasmatota; Thermoplasmata
Description: tRNA-Pro
Source: RNAcentral